CGGCGGACGGGUGAGUAACACGUGGGUAACCUACCUAUAAGACUGGGAUAACUUCGGGAAACCGGAGCUAAUACAGGAUAAUAUUUCGUAACCGCAUGGUUCGAUAGUGAAAGAUGGUAUUGCUAUCACUUAUAGAUGGACCCGCGCCGUAUUAGCUAGUUGGUAAGGUAACGGCUUACCAAGGCGACGAUACGUAGCCGACAUGAGAGGGUGAUCGGCCACACUGGAACUGAGACACGGUCCAGACUCCUACGGGAGGCAGCAGGC
RNAcentral lists this ribosomal RNA (267 nucleotides) under uncultured Staphylococcus sp. RNAcentral describes it as "partial 16S ribosomal RNA". It matches the Rfam family "Bacterial small subunit ribosomal RNA", at positions 96 to 354 of the family's 1533-position model. Lineage: Bacteria; Bacillati; Bacillota; Bacilli; Caryophanales; Staphylococcaceae. The record is from RNAcentral.